GUCUUUGGUGUAGUGGUCAGCACGCUCGACGAGUAACCGAGAGGUCCGUGGUUCGAUUCCCGGCGAAGGCG
Molecule: transfer RNA, 71 nt
Filed under: Stegodyphus mimosarum
Lineage: Eukaryota; Metazoa; Arthropoda; Arachnida; Araneae; Eresidae
Rfam family: tRNA
About the family: Transfer RNA (tRNA) molecules are approximately 80 nucleotides in length. Their secondary structure includes four short double-helical elements and three loops (D, anti-codon, and T loops). Further hydrogen bonds mediate the characteristic L-shaped molecular structure. tRNAs have two regions of fundamental functional importance: the anti-codon, which is responsible for specific mRNA codon recognition, and the 3' end, to which the tRNAs corresponding amino acid is attached (by aminoacyl-tRNA synthetases). tRNAs cope with the degeneracy of the genetic code in two manners: having more than one tRNA (with a specific anti-codon) for a particular amino acid; and 'wobble' base-pairing, i.e. permitting non-standard base-pairing at the 3rd anti-codon position.
Source: Rfam by way of RNAcentral